UACGAAGGGUGCAAGCGUUACUCGGAAUUACUGGGCGUAAAGCGUGCGUGGGUGGUUUGUUAAGUCUGAUGUGAAAGCCCUGGGCUCAACCUGGGAACUGCAUUGGAAACUGGCUGACUAGAGUGCGGUAGAGGGGUGUGGAAUUCCCGGUGUAGCAGUGAAAUGCGUAGAUAUCGGGAGGAACAUCUGUGGCGAAGGCGACACCCUGGACCAGCACUGACACUCAAGUGCGAAAGCGUGGGGAGCAAACAGG
Molecule: ribosomal RNA, 253 nt
Filed under: uncultured bacterium
Lineage: Bacteria
Description: partial 16S ribosomal RNA
Rfam family: Bacterial small subunit ribosomal RNA
Source: RNAcentral